This 557-nucleotide long non-coding RNA is filed under the name Homo sapiens (human). Its description in RNAcentral is "non-protein coding lnc-PTPRD-6:1". The record is from RNAcentral. Lineage: Eukaryota; Metazoa; Chordata; Mammalia; Primates; Hominidae.
AUGGUGCGGAAGCUUAAAUUCCAUGUGCAGAACCUGCUGAAGCAGGUGGACUUCCUGAAUUGGGAGGUCACUGAUCACAACCUGCAUGAGCUGUGCAUACAGUGGCAUUACCAGUUGAAGCAGUGGGAGGACAACAGGUGCUACAAUCAGCUGAGCCAUACCGUGUGUAAGAGAGCAUGGCAUGCCUGUAAGACCUGCCUGAGCGUGACCCAUUCUGCAUGUGUGUUUCAGCUGCACUGCUAGACAAGCUGUAUGCUCUCAGCCUGGUGCCUACACGUGGCUCAGUCAAGCUCUGUCACUUAAUUAUGGCCUCAUUCUUCUGCCACCACCACCUGUCUACUAUGCUACUCAAGCUGCACAUCAUGAAGCACCUUCAGGCUGCUGUGGCCUUUGUGGAGCAAGGCCAUAUGUGCAUGGGCCCUGACAUGGUUACCCACCCUACCUUCCUUGUCAUGUGCAGAAUGGAGGACUUUGUAACAUGGGUCAACUCAUCUAGGAUCAAGCAGAAUGUGCUGGAGUACAACCAGGAGCACAAUAACUUUGAUCUGGAAGUCUAC